CCGACGGGGGGCUGCAGUGGGGAAUAUUGGACAAUGGGCGAAAGCCUGAUCCAGCCAUGCCGCGUGUGUGAAGAAGGCCUUCGGGUUGUAAAGCACUUUCAGUGGGGAAGAAAGCCUUGGGGCUAAUACCCUCGAGGAAGGACAUCACCCACAGAAGAAGCACCGGCUAACUCCGUGCCAGCAGCCGCGGUAAUACGGAGGGUGCGAGCGUUAAUCGGAAUUACUGGGCGUAAAGCGCGCGUAGGCGGUCUGAUAAGCCGGUUGUGAAAGCCCCGGGCUCAACCUGGGAACGGCAUCCGGAACUGUCAGGCUAGAGUGCAGGAGAGGAAGGUAGAAUUCCCGGUGUAGCGGUGAAAUGCGUAGAGAUCGGGAGGAAUACCAGUGGCGAAGGCGGCCUUCUGGACUGACACUGACGCUGAUGUGCGAAAGCGUGGGUAGCAAACAGGAUUAGAUACCCCAGUAGUC
RNAcentral lists this ribosomal RNA (465 nucleotides) under Vreelandella stevensii. RNAcentral's name for it is "partial 16S ribosomal RNA". It matches the Rfam family "Bacterial small subunit ribosomal RNA", at positions 338 to 795 of the family's 1533-position model. The record is from RNAcentral. Lineage: Bacteria; Pseudomonadati; Pseudomonadota; Gammaproteobacteria; Oceanospirillales; Halomonadaceae.